GUGCCAGCAGCCGCGGUAAUACAGAGGGGGCGAGCGUUGUUCGGAAUUACUGGGCGUAAAGGGCGCGUAGGCGGCCUGCUAAGUCAUACGUGAAAUCCCUCGGCUCAACCGGGGAACUGCGUGUGAUACUGGCGGGCUUGAAUCCGGGAGAGGAAUGCGGAAUUCCAGGUGUAGCGGUGAAAUGCGUAGAUAUCUGGAGGAACACCGGUGGCGAAGGCGGCAUUCUGGACCGGCAUUGACGCUGAGGCGCGAAAGCCAGGGGAGCAAACGGGAUUAGAUACCCCCGUAGUCC
Molecule: ribosomal RNA, 292 nt
Filed under: uncultured bacterium
Lineage: Bacteria
Description: partial 16S ribosomal RNA
Rfam family: Bacterial small subunit ribosomal RNA
Source: RNAcentral